GUAAGUAAGUUGAGUUUUCAGGAGGCUACAGGUAUGAAAAAAUGCUUGUUGGGUUGAUAAAAAAUAAAGAAAAGAAAAGGGGGAACCAAAAUUCCCCAAAGUGACAAAACAGUAGACCUCUGUGAUAGGACUGUGCCACAGAACUUACCCUCGGUGAUAAGGCUACGGCAUACAAAGACCAAAAUUUCACGAAGGAAAUUCCAGUAAACCUCCACGAUUUUAAUGUGCCAUACCACUUAUCCUUCGUGAUAAGGACGUGGCAUGGAGGGAGUAAAUUUUUGGAAAAUUUUGAAUAAAAAGUCAAUUUUGACCCGACUUUACUCUACCUAACCCAAAAUCCCUUUUUAAAAUACCUAAAAUCCCCAAAAUUUCCCCACUUUACCUUUUUCCCUAGCGUGCUACUCUUUCUAAAAUUCCCUUAGCCCAAAUAUGUCACGCAUCAAUCCUACACCAAUCUACUCAUAUCUCUUUUCCGCAAUUCUAAACCAGAAACUAUGGCAAGCAGACCUCAAAAAGGAAAAGAUGUUGCUGCGCCUUCUGAACCAUCCAAGAAAAGAGUUCGACCAACCAAUUGGUUACCCAAAGCUCCCUCUAGACAACAUGGACAGACACGUAUGUAUGGCACUAGGUGGAUGGAAGAAGCUAGGAAGAAUUCACCAAGCAUACUGAGGUAAAGUAUGCCCUAGAUGAGUUAAUUAAUUGGGUGAUCUUAUAGAGAGAGUACCCAAGCAUGAUUUGGAGACUGGAGAAGCUAUAUAUGAACUUUAUUUUCAAGCAUCCUACUGAGUGCAACCUAUACCUAAUUAGGGAUUUUUAUGCUAAUUGGACCCCAGAGAUCCUGAUUCCAAAGUGAAGAUUUGCGAGUAGGUGGUGACCUUCACUGUACAUCAUCUGAAUGCCAUUUUAGGCACUCCUGAGGUAGACUCACUUCAAAUGAGGUAGCUAAAUAUCACUCUACCAUAUGAUGAUAUCUGAUAUCUAUUAUAUGGAAAUAUAUCUAUGGCUAGUUGGAUUUGCUGCCAAGAGAGCGACCAUCACAUGACAUUCCCUUAUGCCCAGAUGAAUAGGAAGGAAAGGAUGUAGUUGAAGAUCAUUUUUCACUGCCUCAUUCCAAGAAAACAUAUGAAAUAAGUUACUCAAGAUAGAUUUUGUUUGAUCUAUGCACUAAUGCAGCAAGGGUUUGAAAUAAAUAUGGGUGCAGUGAUUACCUUGAUAGAAAAGAGAGCUCGCUUUCAUUAAGGACAUGAGUAUGGUUUCGGUGGAUUGCAGAUUCAUUUUUUGAUGAGUUAUGAGGUUGAGAAGGAGAACCUGGAUCAUAUAUCGAUAGUAGAUAUGCCUCCAGUAGAUGUGAACAAGAUAUGGGGACUUGACAUUGCUCAUGGUCCAGUGUUGACACUACUCGAGAUUCAUGAUCGUGAUGAUGAGAAUACUGCCUGCAUGUAUGAUUUGUAGAUGCUUCAAUUACUAGUGGGUGGUAGAACAGCUACUAGAAAGGAGAUACGUGUUAUGGAGCUUGACUACCCACUUUAUCACCAUGCCAUGACUCCUUUGAGAAAAGGCCCAGACUUUGUGGAGCUCAUGUAUGAUGAUGUUCCUACUGAUGAGGAGAGGCGACUUUAGAAACAAACAUUGAGUUAGAGAAGGAUGAUACUGUGGACCCAGACUUGGGUGAGGAGGCCUAUGGUCCAUAUGUUGGUGAUGAAAUGGAUGAGUCUUGACCAAGGAGUGUUUACACUACCUCAUAACUUUGUUCUAUUUUGCAAGCAUUGGGGACAGUGCUAUAGUUUAAGAGUGGGGUGGUGGUUCUAAAUUUUUGCAUUUCUCUUUUUGUUAUUUUGACUGUUUGUUACUGUGGGUGUUAUUUUGUUGAAUAUUAUUAUUAGUAAUGAUAUGGGGUUAAUGUAUACAUUA
Molecule: long non-coding RNA, 1911 nt
Organism: Capsicum annuum
Lineage: Eukaryota; Viridiplantae; Streptophyta; Magnoliopsida; Solanales; Solanaceae
Exons: 2
Source: RefSeq, a predicted model, not a curated record